UGGGCAACCUGCCCUCAGCUCUGGGAUAACUCCGGGAAACCGGGCUAAUACCGGAUACGACCACUCCUGGCAUCUGGGGUGGUGGAAAGUUUUUCGGCUGAGGAUGGGCCCGCGGCCUAUCAGCUUGUUGGUGGGGUGAUGGCCUACCAAGGCGACGACGGGUAGCCGGCCUGAGAGGGUGACCGGCCACACUGGGACUGAGACACGGCCCAGACUCCUACGGGAGGCA
Molecule: ribosomal RNA, 229 nt
Filed under: uncultured bacterium
Lineage: Bacteria
Description: partial 16S ribosomal RNA
Rfam family: Bacterial small subunit ribosomal RNA
Source: RNAcentral